Scylla paramamosain (green mud crab) is the source of this 2387-nucleotide RNA transcript. It is a transcript of the gene named glutamate receptor ionotropic, kainate 5-like, with no coding region annotated. The record is from RefSeq and is a predicted model, not a curated record. NCBI's taxonomy places the organism in Eukaryota, Metazoa, Arthropoda, Malacostraca, Decapoda, Portunidae. The transcript is spliced from 7 exons.
AAUUUAUUUAAGCAUUUUUUUAGAUCAACAGUGAUGUGAAGAAACACUCGGAACAGUGUAAUCCCGAUAGGUGGGAGCGGCGUGGCACUGCCUGGUGGUGGUGGUGGUGAGUGAUGACCCAGCCUUCCUCGCCGCCUUCGCUCACCUGUCACUCAGGCGUCACGCCCUCAGGUGGUCCACGAGGAUCCUUGUUCUCACUCGCCUCCCUCUUAACCACCUUGGCGGCCUGCACGGCCUUCUCUCCACCAGGAACGCCAUGCUGCUGCACGUACAGGAGGGCGAGGAGGCUGUCAGUCAGGUGGGCGUGUUGGUGUGGCAGCCGUACAGCGCCGCCGGCAGCACGCCCAUGAGGGUGGCCACCUGGACGCCACACGGGAGGCUGACUCUCGCCUCCCACGUGUCGCUCUUCCCCAACAAGUUCUCUGUGUUCAGCUCCGCCCCGAGCCUUACCGUGGCGGUGGAGCUGCUGCCUCACACAACACUGGUCUGGGUGGACGACCCGGACGCUCCUGGAGGUCGUCGCCUGGAAUACUCGGGUUAUAUAAACAAUAUCGUGAGGUAUCUCGCCGAGGCAAUGAAUUUCACGCCCAGGUACGUGCUGUCCCCCGAGAGAACCUUCGGCACCAGGCUGCCUGACGGCUCCUGGACAGGCAUGAUCGGCAUGGUGGUGCGGGAGGAGGCUGACUUCGCCACAGGCCCCUUCAUCAUGACGCUGGUCAGGAAGCAGGCAGCAGACCCUUCGACAACGUUUUAUCACGGCAACGUAAGAAUAGUGGGCGGCCUGGCUGGCUUAAGGGUAGACCCGUGGAGCUUCAUGCUGCCCCUCACGCCCCUGGUGUGGACAGCCACCCUGACGGCGCUACUGGGGGUGCUGGCUGCGUUACAAGUCUUUUCCUCUUGCAUGUCAAAUAAGACGCAUAAGGUGCCAUGCUACGAUAGCUGGUCCGCCAACACCUUCAGCCCUGUCCGCGUCUUCCUACAGCAAGGUGAGGCCUCGGGGACUGUGCUGGGGCACCCCCUACGGGGGGCUGCCUUUGCGUUUCCGUGCUCUCAGGGAGCAGCAGUCGUGCCCUAAUGAAGACUAACUCUGCCUCACUCACUCCCAACGCAGACGUGGUGCGGCCCGCGGAGUGGUGGUGGUGGGAGCGUCUGGUGCUGGGGCUGUGGAUGCUGACGACGCUCGUGCUGACCAAGAGCUAUGCCGGCAACCUCAUGUCCCUGCUGGCCGUGAGAUACGUGCCGCAGCCCUUCCAGACUCUGAGGGACGUCCUGGACCACCCAAGCGUCGCCAUGAUAUGGCAGAAGUAUUCCAGUUACGAACAAUUCAUCAGGGUAAUGUACUUGUGUAACAUUUUUAUUUUCCCAUAGCCGUACUCCUUGAGCAAAAGAUUCCCAAAGUGAUGGAACAUUGAAAGGAUUCCCAACGUUUUGGAAAUUAAAAGUAAGUCCAACCACUGAAUUUUGUGGGCGGGUUGAAGAUCUAAUUGAUGAAGUCCUUCCCCCAGGACGUGAAGCACGGUCAGUUUCGCGAGGUAGCAGAGUUAGAGGACAAGGGCCGCCUGGAGUUCCACACCCAGCAGGAGAUGAAGGAAGGCCUGGACAUCCUCGUGAGGACAGGAGGCCACGUGCUCAUUGACGUGGACAUCAGUUUGAAGAGUCGCAUUGCUUUAGACUUUUCUGAAAAAGGCCGGUGUGACUUUUACAUGUCAAGGGACGGGUUUCUGCCCUUUUCGUCUGCUAUGAUGACCCAGAAGACCAAUCCUCUCGUCCACGGAUUCAACAAAAGGUUUCAUACGCUAACAGAGCACGGCCUAAUAACGUACUGGAUGGAGAACGUGCCAAAUUUUACCCAGUGUGAAAACAUUCCCAAGAAAAUGCUGGUCAACUCAAGCAUCUUUCUUCACAACAUCUGGGUGAGAGCACAACCCUUUCGCUGUUAAGUACGAUGUGACAAUUGUGAUUUUGGUCAUAACUAGAAUAUUCUAAUGAGGAAAAACAGAGCUACGGCAUUGAUUUCACUAACCAAUCGAUCAUUUCUUCAAAUCAUACACCAAGCUUGCGCCAAAUAAGAAGAUGAGGAGUCAAAGAUGAAAUGUUAGACCCGAUUCAAUAUUAAGCUUUAAGAGAAGAUUAGAAUGAUUUAAAGCUUAACAACUGUCGUUCUGCCAUCUUCCUGCUUCCCCUAUAGUUGUGUUUCUGCAGGUUUGAACAACAAAUACAAGAACAGACAUUUGAUGCAUUAAGAGUCCCGCGUUGUGUUGUCCUGCAGGGAGUGUUUGCAGUGCUGGCCGGGGGUCUGGCUGCCGGGGUGCUGGUCCUGUGUGCUGAGGUGCUCGUCAGCCUAGCCCCCAAGCCUUAGCAGCAUCAAGUAAGAGGACAGGAAGAAA